Non-coding RNA from Merluccius polli (Benguela hake), 75 nucleotides. The record is from the annotation of a GenBank genome assembly. Lineage: Eukaryota; Metazoa; Chordata; Actinopteri; Gadiformes; Merlucciidae.
GGAUAGUCUAGUGGCUAAGAGGGUGUUUGACUCCCAGCCGGAAGGUUCUGGGUUCAAACCCCAGUCUACAGCCUA